CUAGUAACUCGAUUCUGUUCUUAAUUGAAUGGAAUAGCAGUUCUUCGGAGUUGUCGGUUUAUAUUUUUGGCUCCUCCAUAAUGUGGAUUGGUGUAAAAGCCUUGAAGUGUUAUGAGUGGAUCAAGUCAAAGGUGUAAAUUGGAGUUCUAGUUCAUUUACUUUGAGAAAAUUAGAGUGUUUAAAGCAGCCUCUUGGGGCUCUGAAUACAUUAGCAUGGGAUAAUAGAAUAGGAUUUGAAUAAUAUAUUUAUUGGUUUGAAUUGUUUAAAUAAUGAUUAAUAGGGACAGUUGGGGGUAUUUAUAUUGGAUGGUUAGCGGUGAAAUGCAUGGAUCCAUUCAAGAUAAACUAAAGCGAAAGCAUUUACCAAGGAUGUUUUCAUUAAUCAAGAACGAAAGUUAAGGGAUCGAAGAUGAUCAGAUACCGUCGUAGUCUUAACUAUAAACUAUGCCGACCAGGGAUAUGAGUUGUUAUGAAUGCUUUUUUGAGUAUUCGAUUUCCUCUUGUGGACCUUGUGAGAAAUCAUAAGUUUUUGGGUUCUGGGGGGAGUAUGGUCGCAAGGCUGAAACUUAAAGGAAUUGACGGAGGGGCACCACCAGGAGUGGAGCGUGCGGCUUAAUUUGACCCAACACGGGAAAACUUACCAGGUCCAGACAUUAGAAGGAUUGACAGAUUGAUAGCUCUUUCAUGAUUUAAUGGGUGGUGGUGCAUGGCCGUUCUUAGUUGGUGGAGUGAUUUGUCUGGUUAAUUCCGAUAACGAACGAGACCUUUACCAUACUAAAUAGUUUUGCUUAUGUUUUACAUAGGUACUAUAACUUCUUAGAGGGACUAUUGGUUCUUAAACCAAAGGAAGUAAAGGCGAUAACAGGUCUGUGAUGCCCUUAGAUGUUCUGGGCUGCACGCGCGCUACAAUGAUAAGCUCAACGAGUAUUUAUUUUAUUAUAUUGCUGUGUAGGAAUGCAUGGCUAAUCUUAAACGCUUAUCGUGCUUGGGAUAGAUGAUUGCAAUUAUUUAUCUUGAACCAGGAAUUCCUAGUAAUCGUAUAUCAUCAGUGUGCGAUGAUUACGUCCCUGCCCCUUGUACACACCGCCCGUCGCUGCUACCGAUUGGAUGGUCCGGUGAAAUCCCUGGAUAUCGAUGAAUACUUUGACUUCGUGUUAAAGUUCAUUGAUAGAAGUUGAUUAAACCUUAUCAU
This 1192-nucleotide ribosomal RNA is filed under the name metagenome. RNAcentral describes it as "SSU rRNA". It matches the Rfam family "Eukaryotic small subunit ribosomal RNA", at positions 640 to 1772 of the family's 1831-position model. The record is from RNAcentral.